RNAcentral lists this unclassified non-coding RNA (358 nucleotides) under Hevea brasiliensis (rubber tree). Lineage: Eukaryota; Viridiplantae; Streptophyta; Magnoliopsida; Malpighiales; Euphorbiaceae. The record is from RNAcentral.
ACAAAACUCAAAGUAUAUUUUGAUCAGAUAGAGGUAUAUAUGUAUUACGAUGAAGAUAAACUUCUUGCCACAUCCUUUGCCACCCCCUUUCUCUUGGAAACCAAACAAAGUACCGUAAUGCAAGCCAAGUUAGCGUCGAAUAACUCAGAUCACAGCCAAGCCGGUGUGGGGAGCUGGGUGGUGGAGAGAAUGGCAGAGGAUAGGAACAGCAGCUCCGGCAAGCUGACUUUUAAUCUGAGGAUUGCUCUUUGGACUACGUUUAAAUCAGGUUCAUGGUGGGCUAGGCACGUUACUAUAAGAGUUUAUUGUGAAAAUUUGGAGAUUGGCUUUGAGGGUGAAACAGGUAAUGGAAAAUUAA